GGGAGUAUAAGGAAUCAGUGCUCGUAGCCUAAGAGGGGGAGGGGUGAAUUAGGCAACUUAAAACCUUAACCUACUUUGCAUCAAAAUAUAAUCUUGAUCAUGCUAACCUAUAAUGACUCUCCUAAGUUUGUGCUAAGCCUUUGAUGGACCACUUUUAGCACUUUUGGUGGUUUGGAUGUGUUUUUGCUGAGUCUUGGUCUUCAAGGCAUCCCUUGACACUCCAGCAACCCCAAAUGGGUGAGUGAUGACGGUAUAAAUAGCCCCAAGGGCUCAAAGAGCCAUUGCUCCAAUGGCUAGUAAAAAAGUAUACCAUCGAAUGUUCCAAUGGUCUAAUUUUGGCCUGCAUCAGAACAUCUGGUGCAACAAGCCGUUGGAAUCCCUACGCCCAGAUUCCUCAGGAAUUCAUCUGAUGCUUUAUCCGAGAUGCCCGUCAGACCAUCCAGUGCCACUGUCCACAUCACAUAGCCAUUGGAUUCCCUGACGUUAUUGCUCCGAUGCUUCAUCCAAUGCUUCCAUCGGAUCAUCUGGUGCUAAUAAAGGGUUUUUUACCCGAAACCUUCUGUCAGGAAUCAAAGUAAAUAUGCUUUGUCCAACGCUCCUCUUGGACUACCAUCGGAUCAUCUACUGCUAUUGGACUUCUUCAUCUUUCAAG
Molecule: long non-coding RNA, 652 nt
Filed under: Setaria viridis
Lineage: Eukaryota; Viridiplantae; Streptophyta; Magnoliopsida; Poales; Poaceae
Description: long non-coding RNA (SVIR_LNC009745)
Source: RNAcentral